Molecule: ribosomal RNA, 484 nt
Filed under: uncultured bacterium
Lineage: Bacteria
Description: partial 16S ribosomal RNA
Rfam family: Bacterial small subunit ribosomal RNA
Source: RNAcentral
AUUGAACGCUGGCGGCAGGCCUAACACAUGCAAGUCGAGCGGAUGAAGGGAGCUUGCUCCUGGAUUCGGCGGCGGACGGGUGAGUAAUGCCUAGGAAUCUGCCUGGUAGUGGGGGAUAACGUCCGGAAACGGGCGCUAAUACCGCAUACGUCCUGAGGGAGAAAGUGGGGGAUCUUCGGACCUCACGCUAUCAGAUGAGCCUAGGUCGGAUUAGCUAGUUGGUGGGGUAAAGGCCUACCAAGGCGACGAUCCGUAACUGGUCUGAGAGGAUGAUCAGUCACACUGGAACUGAGACACGGUCCAGACUCCUACGGGAGGCAGCAGUGGGGAAUAUUGGACAAUGGGCGAAAGCCUGAUCCAGCCAUGCCGCGUGUGUGAAGAAGGUCUUCGGAUUGUAAAGCACCUUAAGUUGGGAGGAAGGGCAGUAAGUUAAUACCUUGCUGUUUUGACGUUACCAACAGAAUAAGCACCGGCUAACUUCGUG